GCUCGCGUAGCUCAGUCGGUAGAGCGCAUCCUUGGUAAGGAUGAGGUCACCGGUUCGAAUCCGGUCGUGAGCU
This 73-nucleotide transfer RNA is filed under the name Candidatus Cloacimonadota bacterium. RNAcentral describes it as "tRNA-Thr". It matches the Rfam family "tRNA". Rfam says of the family: Transfer RNA (tRNA) molecules are approximately 80 nucleotides in length. Lineage: Bacteria; Pseudomonadati; Candidatus Cloacimonadota. The record is from RNAcentral. RNAcentral also lists the same sequence under 2 other names.